RNAcentral lists this ribosomal RNA (253 nucleotides) under uncultured prokaryote. RNAcentral's name for it is "partial 16S ribosomal RNA". It matches the Rfam family "Bacterial small subunit ribosomal RNA", at positions 524 to 776 of the family's 1533-position model. The record is from RNAcentral.
UACAGAGGGUGCAAGCGUUGUUCGGAAUUAUUGGGCGUAAAGGGUGCGUAGGCGGUGCGGUAAGUCUGUAGUGAAAUCUCUGGGCUCAACUCAGAGUCUGCUAUAGAAACUGCCGUGCUUGAGUGUGGGAGAGGUGAGUGGAACUCCCGGUGUAGCAGUGAAAUGCGUAGAUAUGCGGAGGAACACCGAUGGCGAAGGCAAUCCCCUGGGCCUGCACUGACGCUCAUGCACGAAAGCGUGGGGAGCAAACAGG